Gallus gallus (chicken) is the source of this 1252-nucleotide long non-coding RNA. The record is from Ensembl. NCBI's taxonomy places the organism in Eukaryota, Metazoa, Chordata, Aves, Galliformes, Phasianidae.
UGCACAGUGCUGCUCAACUCACCAUGCACAGCGUUGCACAGUGCUCAUUGCACAGCGCUGCACAUCACAGUGGUGCACAGUGUGCUCAGCUCACGUUGCACAGCAUUGCACACUGCUCACUGCACAGUGCUGCACACCCCAUCAGUGCACAGUGUGCUCAGCCCACCAUGCACAGCAUUGCACAGUGCUCAUUGCACAGCGCUGCACACCACAGUGGCGCACAGUGUGCUCAGCUCACAGUGCACGGCACUGCACAGUGCUCAUUGCACAGUGCUGCACACCCCAUCGGUGCACAGUGUGCUCAGCUCAUGGUGCACAGCGUUGCACAGUGUGCUCAGCUCACAGUGCACAGCAUUGCACGCUGCUCAUUGCACAGCGCUGCACACCCCAUCGGUACACAGUGUGCUCAGCUCAUGGUGCACAGCGUUGCACAGUGCUCAUUGCACAGCGCUGCACUCCACAGUGGUGCACAGUGCUGCACACCACAUCGCGCUGCACACCACAGUGGUGCACAGUGUGCUCAGCUCACCAUGCACAGCACUGCACAGUGCUCAUUGCACAGCGCUGCACACCCCAUCGGUGCACAGUGUGCUCAGCUCACCAUGCACAGCAUUGCACACUGCUCAUUGCACAGCACUGCACACCACAUCGGUGCACAGUGUGCUCAGCUCACAUUGCACAGCGCUGCACAUCACAGUGGUGCACAGUGUGCUCAGCUCACGUUGCACAGCGCUGCACACCACAUCGGUGCACAGUGUGCUCAGCUCAUGGUGCACAGCACUGCACAGUGCUCAUUGCACAGCACUGCACACCCCAUCGGUGCACAGUGUGCUCAGCUCACCAUGCACAGUGUUGCACAGUGCUGCACACCCCAUCGGUGCACAGUGUGCUCAGCUCACAGUGCACAGCAUUGCACGCUGCUCAUUGCACAGCGCUGCACACCCCAUCGGUGCACAGUGUGCUCAGCUCAUGGUGCACAACGUUGCACAGUGUGCUCAGCUCACGUUGCACAGCGCUGCUCACUGCUCACUGCACGGCUGUGCUCAUUGCACAGCGCCGUUUCCUGCUCUCCCUGCACAGCGCUCAUUGCCGUCGCUGCUUUCCGGUGCUUUCUCAGCCCCCGCAGCCGCUGCCGAGCCGUGCACACACGUCAGGGUUGCACGUCGUUGCACGCAGAACCGUUUGCACGCGUCCUGCGGCGCUGCAACGGCAUCUGCGCGUGCAACGCACGCGGCUGCGUGCACGGGGCGCG